CAGAACGAACGCUGGCGGCAGGCCUAACACAUGCAAGUCGAGCGCCCCGCAAGGGGAGCGGCGGACGGGUGAGUAACACGUGGGAAUUUUCCUCAAGGUACGGAACAACUCAGGGAAACUUGGGCUAAUACCGUAUGAUGCAGAGAUGCCAAAGAUUUAUCGCCUUGGGAUAAGCCCGCGUCAGAUUAGGUAGUUGGUGGGGUAAUGGCCUACCAAGCCUGUGAUCUGUAGCUGGUCUGAGAGGACGAUCAGCCACAUUGGGACUGAGACACGGCCCAAACUCCUACGGGAGGCAGCAGUGGGGAAUCUUGCGCAAUGGGCGAAAGCCUGACGCAGCCAUGCCGCGUGAAUGAUGAAGGUCUUAGGAUUGUAAAGUUCUUUAGCCUGUGACGAUGAUGACGGUAACAGGAGAAUAAGCCCCGGCUAACUUUGUG
This 434-nucleotide ribosomal RNA is filed under the name uncultured bacterium. RNAcentral describes it as "bacterial SSU rRNA". It matches the Rfam family "Bacterial small subunit ribosomal RNA", at positions 25 to 507 of the family's 1533-position model. The record is from RNAcentral.